Molecule: long non-coding RNA, 841 nt
Filed under: Homo sapiens (human)
Lineage: Eukaryota; Metazoa; Chordata; Mammalia; Primates; Hominidae
Description: long non-coding RNA NONHSAT169416.1
Source: RNAcentral
GCCAAGCAUCAACAUUCUCAGUAGUGCAGAGGAAUUAUCAGGACACAGCUAACAAAGAUCAGUUCUGAGCCGAGGUCGUAGUGCUUGACAAACUCUAAAUGAAGUAUAUUUGUCUCUAGAAGGGGUCCAAGACUGGAAACUAAGUUGCGCAGCUUAACUUCAAAGUUUUCUUCCUUUAAUGAGCAGUUAAUCACAUCUAUAAAAUAUCAACUCCCUAAUGGUUUGUGUUUUCUUAGUGUUUUAACACUUGCCAUUCUGUCUCUACACACACAGGGAGCUGAGGAGGAGGGGUGGGGGUGUCUCACCGCCUCUUGCUUUCCCCAGGCUUUGUGGAGCUCAGCCUGUUCGACCAAGUGCGGCUCUUGGAGAGCUGUUGGAUGGAGGUGUUAAUGAUGGGGCUGAUGUGGCGCUCAAUUGACCACCCCGGCAAGCUCAUCUUUGCUCCAGAUCUUGUUCUGGACAGGGAUGAGGGGAAAUGCGUAGAAGGAAUUCUGGAAAUCUUUGACAUGCUCCUGGCAACUACUUCAAGGUUUCGAGAGUUAAAACUCCAACACAAAGAAUAUCUCUGUGUCAAGGCCAUGAUCCUGCUCAAUUCCAGUAAGUAAUCACACAGCUGGGCCAUGUUUUAUCGGGGAGAGAUGCUGUUUCUACAACUAGCGUGAUAUUAAGAAGAAUGUUGAACUUCUAUUUUAUUUGAAAGGGUAAAAUGGUUUCCUUUUGGACUUCGUUUUUAUUUUGAUAGCGAUUUAAACUGUAGGUAACUUUUGGUAACUUGGACAUAAAUUACUCAUUAAGUGAAUGACUGGCAAUCAAUUUAAAAGUAGCUCAAGCCACUUGCUGG